AGAUUGGACGCUAGCGGCAUGCCUAACACAUGCAAGUCGAACGGUAACAGGCCCUUCGGGGUGCUGACGAGUGGCGGACGGGUGAGUAAUGCGUAGGAAUCUACCCACGAGUGGGGGAUAGCCCGGAGAAAUCCGGAUUAAUACCGCAUAUGCCCUACGGGGUAAAGCGGGGGAUCGUAAUACCUCGCGCUAAGAGAGGAGCCUACGUCCGAUUAGCUAGUUGGCGGGGUAAAGGCCUACCAAGGCUACGAUCGGUAGCUGGCCUGAGAGGACGGCCAGCCACACUGGGACUGAGACACGGCCCAGACUCCUACGGGAGGCAGC
Molecule: ribosomal RNA, 324 nt
Filed under: uncultured prokaryote
Description: bacterial SSU rRNA
Rfam family: Bacterial small subunit ribosomal RNA
Source: RNAcentral